RNAcentral lists this ribosomal RNA (869 nucleotides) under uncultured archaeon. Its description in RNAcentral is "bacterial SSU rRNA". It matches the Rfam family "Archaeal small subunit ribosomal RNA", at positions 1 to 878 of the family's 1478-position model. The record is from RNAcentral.
CUCCGGUUGAUCCUGCCGGACCUGACUGCUAUCGGAUUGGUACUAAGCCAUGCGAGUCAUUGUAGCAAUACAAGGCGGACGGCUCAGUAACACGUAGUCAACCUAACUCGUGGACGUGGAUAACCUCGGGAAACUGAGAAUAAACCACGAUAGAUCAUAGUGCCUGGAAUGGCUUAUGGUCCAAACAGUUUACUGCCAUGGGAUGGGACUGCGGCCUAUCAGCUUGUUGGUGAGGUAAUGGCCCACCAAGGCGAUUACAGGUACGGGCUCUGAGAGGAGAAGCCCGGAGAUGGGUACUGAGACACGGACCCAGGCCCUAUGGGGCGCAGCAGGCGAGAAACCUUAGCAAUGUGCGAAAGCACGACUGGGUCAGUCCGAGUGAUUCCUGAUAAAGGAGUCUUUUGCUUGUCCUAAAAGCACAGGUGAAUAAGGGGUGGGCAAGUCUGGUGUCAGCCGCCGCGGUAAUACCAGCACCUCGAGUGGUCAGGACGUUUAUUGGGCCUAAAGCAUCCGUAGCCGGCUCUGCAAGUCUUCGGUUAAAUCCACCUGCUCAACAGAUGGGCUGCUGGAGAUACUACAGAGCUAGGGAGUGGGAGAGGCAGACGGUAUUCAGUGGGUAGGGGUAAAAUCCUCUGAUCCAUUGAGGACCACCAGUGGCGAAGGCGGUCUGCCAGAACACGUUCGACGGUGAGGGAUGAAAGCUGGGGGAGCAAACCGGAUUAGAUACCCGGGUAGUCCCAGCUGUAAACGAUGCAAACUCGGUGAUGCAUUGGCUUAUGGCCAAUGCAGUGCCGCAGGGAAGCCGUUAAGUUUGCCGCCUGGGAAGUACGGACGCAAGUCUGAAACUUAAAGGAAUUGGCCGGGGAGCA